AGUGAACGCUGGCGGUAGGCCUAACACAUGCAAGUCGAACGGCAGCACAGUAAGAGCUUGCUCUUACGGGUGGCGAGUGGCGGACGGGUGAGGAAUACAUCGGAAUCUACUUUUUCGUGGGGGAUAACGUAGGGAAACUUACGCUAAUACCGCAUACGACCUACGGGUGAAAGCAGGAGAUCUUCGGACCUUGCGCGAUUGAAUGAGCCGAUGUCGGAUUAGCUAGUUGGCGGGGUAAAGGCCCACCAAGGCGACGAUACGUAGCUGGUCUGAGAGGAUGAUCGGCCACACUGGAACUGAGACACGGUCCAGACUCCUACGGGAGGCAGCAGUGGGGAAUAUUGGACAAUGGGCGCAAGCCUGAUCCAGCCAUACCGCGUGGGUGAAGAAGGCCUUCGGGUUGUAAAGCCCUUUUGUUGGGAAAGAAAAGCAGCAGGUUAAUACCCCGCUGUUCUGACGGUACCCAAAGAAUAAGCACCGGCUAACUUCGU
This 491-nucleotide ribosomal RNA is filed under the name uncultured bacterium. RNAcentral's name for it is "partial 16S ribosomal RNA". It matches the Rfam family "Bacterial small subunit ribosomal RNA", at positions 29 to 506 of the family's 1533-position model. The record is from RNAcentral.